GAAUAUUGGACAACGGGGGGAACCCUGAUCCAGCCAUGCCCCGUGUGUGAAGAAGGCCUUUUGGUCGUCAACCACUUUAAGUGAGGAGCAGGCUCCUCUACUUAACACCCAGGGAUAGAGUACGUUACUCGCAGAAUAAGCACCGGCCAACUCGGUUCCAGCCGCCGCGGUAAUACAGAGGGUGCAAGCGUUAAUCGGAUUUACUGGGCGUAAAGCGCGCGUAGGUGGCCAAUUAAGUCAAAUGUGAAAUCCCCAAGCUUAACUUUGGAAUUGCAUUCGAUACUGGUUGGCUAGAGUAUGGGAGAGGAUGGUAGAAUUCCAGGUGUAGCGGUGAAAUGCGUAGAGAUCUGGAGGAAUACCGAUGGCGAAGGCAGCCAUCUGGCCUAAUACUGACACUGAGGUGCGAAAGCAUGGGGAGCAAACA
This 424-nucleotide ribosomal RNA is filed under the name uncultured bacterium. RNAcentral describes it as "partial 16S ribosomal RNA". It matches the Rfam family "Bacterial small subunit ribosomal RNA", at positions 359 to 774 of the family's 1533-position model. The record is from RNAcentral.